UGCCAGCCGCCGCGGUAAUACGGAGGGUGCAAGCGUUAAUCGGAAUUACUGGGCGUAAAGCGCGCGUAGGCGGCUCUUUAAGUCGGAUGUGAAAGCCCCGGGCUCAACCUGGGAACUGCAUCCGAUACUGGAGGGCUAGAGUGUAGGAGAGGGAGGUAGAAUUCCAUGUGUAGCAGUGAAAUUCGUAGAUAUUUGGAGGAACACCAGUGGCGAAGGCGGCUCACUGGCUCGAUACUGACGCUGAGGUACGAAAGUGUGGGGAGCAAACAGGAUUAGAUA
This 279-nucleotide ribosomal RNA is filed under the name uncultured bacterium. Its description in RNAcentral is "partial 16S ribosomal RNA". It matches the Rfam family "Bacterial small subunit ribosomal RNA", at positions 506 to 784 of the family's 1533-position model. The record is from RNAcentral.